This 3041-nucleotide long non-coding RNA is filed under the name Triticum aestivum (bread wheat). RNAcentral describes it as "long non-coding RNA (TAES_LNC009438)". The record is from RNAcentral. Lineage: Eukaryota; Viridiplantae; Streptophyta; Magnoliopsida; Poales; Poaceae.
CUCAGCUAGAAGCUAUGUCAGACCAACUUCAUUUAGUUCUUGAGAUUUUUUGUGGCUUUGGAUUUAUAGUCUACGAGCAAUGCUCAUGCUUCUGUGAUUCCUUCCAGCUCUAAAAUACAUGUAUGCUUUUCUCUAUGUUGUACUACUAAACUAUAUGUGGCCAUCAUAUUUUAGAUAAAUGAUGAUGUGGUAAUGCACACCUUUUAAAUGCUGCACGUGUGGUUCAGUAAAUCCUCACUAUCAUGUGUUGUGGCGUCCGUGUUGUUUUCAGAGCUUGAAGCAAGCAGAACACUGAAUAUAUCUUUAGGGCGGAAGAUAUAUUCAAAGUCGUCUCUUGUACUAAUGUUCAGGGCAAUGGGCGCUUGAUAUUUUAGGGCGGAAGGCUGAAGCAAAGAAAGCUGCGGCUCUUUAGUAUAUCUAUAGAUUUGCGGCUCUUUGAGCUGUGGUACAUUUGAUUCGAGACCCGGAUGAGGUCGGUUAAAUUAGGAUUAAAGUCUGCACAAUAACUAGGAACGCCGAACAAGCAAGGCUAUUCAGAUGAAGUCUGCACUUAAUACUAUAGGUUUCCUUUUGGGCUCCUGUACAGCUUCGCUAGCAUCAUAAAUUAAUUGUGGGAUAUAAUGCAUAGUAGUAGCUGCUUCUGUUUAUUGUGGAAAUCUUCUUAGUUUAUAGGUUUCCUUUUCGUCUCUUGUACUAAUGUUCAGGGCAAUGGAAAUCUUGUAUAAUAAUCUGUACGUAGUUGAUACUAACAACAGAAGGAUGACAUGUUUGUUUUUGGGCAUAAAGUUAUGCGCUGAUCCUCUUGCAUUUGGAUUCCGGUCUUACCCUGACUAUGCGGAUAUGCUAUUCUAGGUUGGUUUUACGUUUCUUAUUGGAAGAGUGAGAUGCACAGGACAGAAUCCAGUUUGUAUCAACGCCUCAUUGGUAAGCAUGCUCAGGUUUAAUGUUACUGCAAAUUCCUCCCUAAUUUCAGCCCUAGGAACUAUACCAGAUCAUCAUAAGGGUGUGUGAACUCGCACCUGGUCUUGAUGCUAUUUUUGCUGCAUGGUAGUCAUUGUUUUUUUAUGUCUUGCCAGAUGACCUCUUAAGUUCCUAUUUUAUUUUAUUUCUCUUAAGAGUGGUGUCUCUUGCAGAAUAGAAUCAUGUAGAUUCGGCUUCAUAAAGAAAUAGUUUUAAGGGAGGACUUCAAAGAGUAUUUUGCCAAAUUUGGUAAAGUGCGGGUAAAUUGAUUUUUGGUUGUCCUUUUUCUUUACAAUUGGUCGUGGAGCUUCUUGGAUUAAACUUGUAAAGAGUAGUAUUGGAAAGCCUCAUUUUUGUAAGAUGCUCUGGUAUUUCCGAGUAGAAGAAAGCAAAGCCAACAAUGGUCGUUAGAAAUUAUUAGUACUCUACAAAAUUUGUAACACAUCAUAUUAAUUGGGAACUCAAAUCUUGGUUGCAAAAUUUAGAUCUGUGCUAUAAAUGCAGGCAAUACAAAAGGUAGGAAGACCAUACGAAGACCAAUACAAAUAGGAGGAUGCAUGAGCUUCAGAUAUGAUUGAAUUCAGUCUGAAGAUGGAGACUUGAAGGAGGAAUUAGUGGAGAAUGGGAAGGUGGAUAGAACAUGGGAACCAAUCAAAUACGUGUAGGUAUGACAUGGUGCUUUUUUUAAUCUCUUGCGGAUGUCAAUAUUUUUCUACAGUUACAUAUAUAAAACUGAAUCACAAAGGAUUUUAUUUUUGAUUAGGUACACCAUAGAAUAGUCUCACAUCUUGGUUUAUUUAUUACCCUGUUUAAAUAUCAACCAACAUGCUUGUCAAAUUUGUAAUUUAUAAUUUGUUAUUUGCUUGCCUCAAGGCAAUAUUCUCCCAAGAUAUAUAUCUCUCUGUGUGUGUGUGUGUACUUGGACAGAAACACUUCCCAUACCCGAGGUCUCAGUUAAUGUACUGCUGUUGAAUUCUUCUGUCACUUUUGAUACAAAGCUAUAGCUAUACUUUCAUUUGCCAAGAAGAUAAAAUAGGUUAAAUACUGUGAUUUAGUUACUUUCAGAUUUUGGUAUAUUUUGAGAAGUGCUCCACAAAUAUGAAUGAAAGGAGCUUGUAUUUGAGGUAAUAGUCUAGGAAGUUUUAUUUAAGAUAUCAUCUGUGUCAAUGAAAAAUAGUACUAGACGUGUGAAUAAAGGCCACCUAUGACAUACAAAGUACUGUAAUAAAAUCGGAGGGCUGGGGAAGUGUUGGACUGGAGCCUCGCCCCCAUGCGGUAUGCUCUGUCCAAGUACGUGCUCCUGUUCGCCACAUCUGCAUACUGGAUGAAACCUGCGUGCUAAUUGCGUAUUAUGUGCAAGUCAGUAUUGAACGCUCUGUAUUAUUGUUCCAGAGAAGUAAGUUUCAACAGUUUCCGUGACAUUUCAUGUAUGUUCCAUGCAGUAGUCUAGGUGGGAAUUAUAUUGAUGAUUUCAUUUUACCUUCAUAUCUGCUGAAUUUUCUUACCAAACACAAAAGCUUUGUGUCUUGAGGUGUUGAUAGAAGUGAACAUAAUUCAUGAUACAAUCCUGAUACUCUGAAAAUAUUUUUAUGGUUCAGUAUUCCUACGAGGGGAGUGAGUAUGAGUGGAUCAACACGUGGAGCAGCUGCUGCCUAUGAGGCGAGUGAGUGGAGACGGCCUGAUCUGUGCAGCGGAGGGGCUAUAGAAGCUCGAACGAAAGAUUCGUCGCCAGCAUCGGAGCAAUUUAUUGGGCAGAUCGAUACUAAAGCUCAUGCAUGGACGUGAAGGCAUGUCUUUAUUAAGUUCAAUCUUUGGAAACUUGGCAUGUGACGCUGUGUAAAAAUAGAAGAUGCUAGAAAAUUGUCUCUGGCCAAUUUCGUAUGUAGCUGUGAGCAUUGCUAAUUUUUGUCAACAUGAAUGAUAUUUGGACUAUUUAUAUAGCUACCAUGUGCUGAACAAAUUGUCUGAUUAAUGUAACCCUCCCGAAUAGAUUGGUGUGUGUGCCAUGUCAUUUGGUCUGCGUUACACUAACAGAAUCAUUUUGUCAAUGCCCGGUCCAUUAAUACUCUUUCAAAAUUUUG